Molecule: ribosomal RNA, 466 nt
Filed under: uncultured bacterium
Lineage: Bacteria
Description: partial 16S ribosomal RNA
Rfam family: Bacterial small subunit ribosomal RNA
Source: RNAcentral
CUACGGGAGGCUCCAGUGGGGAAUAUUGGACAAUGGGGGAAACCCUGAUCCAGCAAUGCCGCGUGUGUGAAGAAGGCCUGCGGGUUGUAAAGCACUUUCGGUUGGGAGGACUGCUUCUAGCACUAAUAUUGUUGGAAGUUGACGUUACCUUCAGAAGAAGCGCCGGCUAACUCCGUGCCAGCAGCGCGCGGUAAUACGGAGGGUGCAAGCGUUAAUCGGAAUUACUGGGCGUAAAGCGCGCGUAGGCGGCUAGAUCAGUCGGGUGUGAAAGCCCCGGGCUUAACCUGGGAACUGCAUCCGAUACUGUCUAGCUUGAGUACAGGAGAGGAGAGUGGAAUUCCACAUGUAGCGGUGAAAUGCGUAGAUAUGUGGAGGAACACCAAUGGCGAAGGCAGCUCUCUGGCCUGAUACUGACGCUGAGGUGCGAAAGCGUGGGGAGCAAACAGGAUUAGAUACCCCAGUAGUC